Molecule: transfer RNA, 73 nt
Filed under: Pteropus alecto (black flying fox)
Lineage: Eukaryota; Metazoa; Chordata; Mammalia; Chiroptera; Pteropodidae
Rfam family: tRNA
About the family: Transfer RNA (tRNA) molecules are approximately 80 nucleotides in length. Their secondary structure includes four short double-helical elements and three loops (D, anti-codon, and T loops).
Source: Rfam by way of RNAcentral
GGUUCCAUAGUGUAACGGUUUGCACGUCUGCUUUACACGCAGAAGGUCCUGGGUUCGCACCCCAGUGGAGCCA